This 447-nucleotide ribosomal RNA is filed under the name uncultured bacterium. RNAcentral's name for it is "bacterial SSU rRNA". It matches the Rfam family "Bacterial small subunit ribosomal RNA", at positions 329 to 792 of the family's 1533-position model. The record is from RNAcentral.
UUCCAGACUCCUACGGGAGGCAGCAGUGGGGAAUAUUGCACAAUGGGGGAAACCCUGAUGCAGCGACGCCGCGUGAGUGAAGAAGUAUUUCGGUAUGUAAAGCUCUAUCAGCAGGGAAGAUAAUGACGGUACCUGACUAAGAAGCCCCGGCUAACUACGUGCCAGCAGCCGCGGUAAUACGUAGGGGGCAAGCGUUAUCCGGAUUUACUGGGUGUAAAGGGUGCGUAGGUGGGAUGGCAAGUCAGAAGUGAAAGGCCGGGGCUCAACCCCGCGGACUGCUUUUGAAACUGUCAGGCUGGAGUACAGGAGAGGUAAGCGGAAUUCCUAGUGUAGCGGUGAAAUGCGUAGAUAUUAGGAGGAACACCAGUGGCGAAGGCGGCUUACUGGACUGUAACUGACACUGAGGCACGAAAGCGUGGGGAGCAAACAGGAUUAGAUACCCGAGUA